This is an RNA transcript of Artibeus jamaicensis (Jamaican fruit-eating bat), 2483 nucleotides long. It is a transcript of the gene named selenophosphate synthetase 1, with no coding region annotated. The transcript has 10 exons. The record is from RefSeq and is a predicted model, not a curated record. NCBI's taxonomy places the organism in Eukaryota, Metazoa, Chordata, Mammalia, Chiroptera, Phyllostomidae.
ACCAGAGGGCCAGGGUCCUGCCGCGCUCGCCCCGCUGCGGCCUCUGGGCCGCGCGCGGUUCCCGCCGCCACAGCUUGGGAGGACACGCGGGCGAUCGGGCAUGGCCCAUCCAGUGGCGCCGCGCUGCCUCCCCAGGCCUCGGCCAGCCCUCGGCGCCGCACAAAGAGCCCAGGCCCGAUUGGCCUUUAAAGGCGGCAGCCAAAGCUUUAAGGUGCCCCGGCGUUCCGUGCCCCAUACUCUGCCGACUUCGAUGUGUGCUUCAUGGCGAGCGACUGGUCGCUGCGCCCACGUCGCAGUGUCCCCUCCAUUGUUGAUGUCCUGGGCUUAGGGGCUUUGGGUAGGUUGAUCUAUAAAGAAAUCAGCAGACUAGGAGAGGAAGGUGAGGAGCCCAGCUGUGAGGUGUGUACACCCAAGAACCAUGUCUACACGGGAGUCCUUUAACCCGGAAAGUUAUGAAUUGGACAAGAGCUUCCGGCUAACCAGAUUCACAGAACUGAAGGGUACUGGCUGCAAAGUGCCCCAAGAUGUCCUGCAGAAAUUGUUGGAAUCCUUACAAGAGAACCACUUCCAAGAAGAUGAACAGUUUCUGGGAGCAGUUAUGCCAAGGCUUGGAAUUGGAAUGGAUACUUGUGUCAUUCCUUUGAGGCAUGGUGGUCUUUCCUUGGUGCAAACCACAGAUUAUAUUUAUCCUAUCGUUGAUGACCCUUACAUGAUGGGCAGAAUAGCAUGUGCCAAUGUCCUCAGUGACCUCUAUGCAAUGGGGGUCACAGAAUGUGACAAUAUGCUGAUGCUCCUUGGAAUCAGUAAUAAAAUGACUGACAGGGAAAGGGAUAAAGUGAUGCCCCUAAUUAUACAGGGUUUUAAAGAUGCAGCAGAGGAGGCAGGAACGUCUGUAACGGGCGGCCAAACAGUGUUAAACCCCUGGAUUGUUUUGGGAGGAGUGGCUACAACUGUCUGCCAGCCCAAUGAAUUUAUCAUGCCAGAUAAUGCCGUGCCUGGGGAUGUGCUCGUUCUGACCAAGCCCCUGGGGACACAAGUGGCAGUGGCAGUGCACCAGUGGCUGGAUAUUCCUGAAAAAUGGAAUAAAAUUAAACUAGUGGUCACCCAGGAAGAUGUGGAGUUGGCAUACCAGGAGGCGAUGAUGAAUAUGGCGAGGCUCAACAGAACAGCUGCAGGGCUCAUGCACACGUUCAAUGCCCAUGCUGCCACUGACAUCACGGGCUUUGGAAUUCUGGGCCACGCACAGAACCUGGCCAAGCAACAGAGGAAUGAGGUGUCCUUUGUGAUUCACAACCUCCCUGUCCUGGCCAAGAUGGCAGCUGUGAGCAAGGCCUGUGGAAACAUGUUUGGCCUCAUGCAUGGGACCUGCCCGGAGACAUCAGGAGGCCUUCUAAUCUGUUUACCACGUGAACAAGCAGCUCGGUUCUGUGCAGAGAUAAAGUCCCCCAAAUAUGGUGAAGGUCACCAGGCAUGGAUUAUUGGGAUCGUAGAGAAGGGCAACCGUACAGCCAGAAUCAUAGACAAACCCCGGAUCAUCGAAGUCGCACCACAGGUGGCUACUCAAAAUGUGAAUCCCACACCUGGUGCCACCUCUUAAUCUAGACCGAAAUAGCUGUUUGGUUUUGUUUUUAAAUAGAUCUAUUUCCUUUAUCAUCAUUUCAAUUAAAGACUAUAAACAACAAAAAUCUCAUUGUGUCUACACAUUGGUGACCUGAGGUCAAUUUGUGAACGGAUGCAAUUAAUAAAAUAAAAUCCAUUGCCUUUUUUUUCCUGUUACAUUAACUGAAGAUGCACCUAAUCUUGAGGCAGCUUCUGAGUUGAGAAUUAUAUUGUUAUCCAAUACUGUUGAUUCAUUUUGAAUCUUUAGACACUUAUCUCUUGCCGCAUAGGCUCUUUUUAAAGGUGCUUUCACAUAGCACAGACAUUACCAAUUGUAGUGUCAACUUGCAGUUUGUGUCUUUCACUUCAUGUAUAUUUAUCAUCAGUCUGAUCUCUAAGUGUCUCGAAUGGUAUUCUGGACAGACGGAAUUGAAGCAGAGGCCUCCUUAUAUUGUAAACUACUAAGUGAUUUGGAGGGAUUCCUGUCAUUAAGCACAAGUGCACUGGCCCCUCAAGUGUCUGCAUGAGAGAAAAAGCACCACAUCACUGCAAGCUUAUGAAUGCUUCCCGCUUACAGGCAGUAGAGCCAUGUGAACCAAUCAACUUCUUGCCAAAGGAAACCGCCACUGAGGAGAGAAAGCCCCUGGAAGAGGCUUUACUAUGGACACUCCCCUACCCCUUUUGGGACCCCAAGGGCAGCCUGUCGGGCACAUGUCACUGGUGUCACUGGCACUCAAGCCGUAAGGAUUGUGUGUGGUACCUGGGAGGCUGCUACAGAACUGAAAUUAAUUGGACAUUCUUAGGGAUUUAUACAGAUGUUGGUCCUCAAAAGUUAAAAACCAUUGGUCUGCAAAAUAAAAUGUGUUGGAAACCUCAGAAAUGAA